UGAAAUUUUAAUGGCCGCGGUAUUUUGACCGUGCAAAGGUAGCAUAAUCAUUAGUUUAUUAAUUGUGAACUGGAAUGAAUGGUUGGACGAAAUAUUAGCUGUCUCAUUUUUAAUUUUUGAAUUUAAAUUUUAAGUUAAAAUGCUUAAAUUAUUUUAUAGGACGAGAAGACCCUAUAGAUCUUAAUUAUAUAUUUUUAUUUUUGGUUUAGUUGUUUUAUUUUUUAAUAAUUAUUUAUUGUUUGGUUGGGGUGACUUGAGGAAAUAAUUAACUCCUUAUUAUUCAUUCAAUUAUUUUUGUUUAAUUGACCUUUUAUUAUUGUUGUAAGAUAAAGAUACCUUAGGGAUAACAGCGUAAUUCUUUUUGAGAGUUCAUAUUGACAGAAGAGAUUGCGACCUCGAUGUUGGAUUAAGAUUAUAGUUUGGUGUAGUAGCUUUAUUAUUAGGUCUGUUCGACCUUUAAAAUCUUACAUGAUCUGAGUUCAAACCGG
Molecule: ribosomal RNA, 488 nt
Filed under: Leprodes cf. gibbifer Ma028
Lineage: Eukaryota; Metazoa; Arthropoda; Insecta; Phasmatodea; Bacillidae
Description: partial large subunit ribosomal RNA
Rfam family: Bacterial large subunit ribosomal RNA
Source: RNAcentral